Molecule: ribosomal RNA, 252 nt
Filed under: uncultured bacterium
Lineage: Bacteria
Description: partial 16S ribosomal RNA
Rfam family: Bacterial small subunit ribosomal RNA
Source: RNAcentral
UACGUAGGUCCCGAGCGUUGUCCGGAUUUAUUGGGCGUAAAGCGAGCGCAGGCGGUUUAAUAAGUCUGAAGUUAAAGGCAGUGGCUUAACCAUUGUUCGCUUUGGAAACUGUUAAACUUGAGUGCAGAAGGGGAGAGUGGAAUUCCAUGUGUAGCGGUGAAAUGCGUAGAUAUAUGGAGGAACACCGGUGGCGAAAGCGGCUCUCCGGUCUGUAACUGACGCUGAGGCUCGAAAGCGUGGGGAGCAAACAGG